UCCAAAGGCCCUGGGAACCUUGUCAGGGUGCAUGGCUUAAUGAACUCCUUGAAAUACCAGGGCAUUUUAAAUCAAAUUCUGGUGGCCUUUGCGAGAAAGCUGAAGAUGGGUUGUCAUUGGGUCUUCCAGCAGGAUAAUGACCCUAAACAUAUGGCAAAAUCUACACAAAAAUGGCUCAGCAGACACAAAAUCAAGCUCCUCCCAUGGCCAUCUGAGUCCCCAGACCUCAACCCCAUUGAAAACCUGUGGAGUGGGUGCUGUCUUGUUGGCAAAAGGGGGUUGUAUAAAAUAUUAACAGUAGGGGUGCCAAUAAUUGUGGCACACAUGAUUUCAUGUAAAAAAUGUAUUUCUUAAUGUGGGAUUUUUUUCCCACUGAAUAAAUGUACUUCAAUUAAAGGUUGGAUUUUUCUCUUU
Molecule: long non-coding RNA, 414 nt
Organism: Erpetoichthys calabaricus (reedfish)
Lineage: Eukaryota; Metazoa; Chordata; Cladistia; Polypteriformes; Polypteridae
Exons: 2
Source: RefSeq, a predicted model, not a curated record